This 122-nucleotide ribosomal RNA is filed under the name Escherichia coli. Its description in RNAcentral is "partial 23S ribosomal RNA". It matches the Rfam family "Bacterial large subunit ribosomal RNA", at positions 2811 to 2925 of the family's 2925-position model. Lineage: Bacteria; Pseudomonadati; Pseudomonadota; Gammaproteobacteria; Enterobacterales; Enterobacteriaceae. The record is from RNAcentral.
CUUUAAGGGUCCUGAAGGAACGUUGAAGACGACGACGUUGAUAGGCCGGGUGUGUAAGCGCAGCGAUGCGUUGAGCUAACCGGUACUAAUGAACCGUGAGGCUUAACCUUACAACACCGAAG